Molecule: ribosomal RNA, 253 nt
Filed under: uncultured bacterium
Lineage: Bacteria
Description: partial 16S ribosomal RNA
Rfam family: Bacterial small subunit ribosomal RNA
Source: RNAcentral
UACGGGGGGGGUAAGCGUUGUUCGGAAUUACUGGGCGUAAAGGGCUCGUAGGCGGCCAACUAAGUCGGACGUGAAAUCCCUCAGCUUAACUGGGGAACUGCGUCCGAUACUGGAUGGCUUGGAUUUGGGAGAGGGAUGCGGAAUUCCAGGUGUAGCGGUGAAAUGCGUAGAUAUCUGGAGGAACACCGGUGGCGAAGGCGGCAUCCUGGACCAAUAUUGACGCUGAGGAGCGAGAGCCAGGGGAGCAAACGGG